This is a long non-coding RNA of Hirundo rustica (Barn swallow), 1826 nucleotides long. RefSeq lists it as uncharacterized. The record is from RefSeq and is a predicted model, not a curated record. NCBI's taxonomy places the organism in Eukaryota, Metazoa, Chordata, Aves, Passeriformes, Hirundinidae. The transcript has 3 exons.
GUGGAGUCACCAGAGUUGAGAGAAACGUUGAGAUCUUUUGUGUCCAUCACCUCCGAGUGACGGGAGCUCUGCGGGCUCCCCUGUGCAUCUCCCAGUGCGCCUUCACAGGGUGCGCCGGGGCGGAGCCGGCUCCGGCCCGAGGUGCUGCGUGUCCGCACGGUGAUGGACUUUGCUGCUGAAGUUACGUAGUUGCUGCACCGGAGAUUUGCGACUGCAGGCCGAGGCAUUGCUCCAGCCCUGGGAGACCUCAGCCUGCAGCCUAUGGACUUUGGAUGGACCUUUCCCUCCCCGUGUUCCUCAGCAGUUCAGCAGCAUGUUCUGCAGCUGAGCGCAGCCUGUGCCUGCUGCGCAGUUUCCUUGUGCCGUUGCAAACCACACAAGAUCAGGUUCCUACCUGCUGAGACACCUGCGCAGCUGAUCCUGCGCCGUGUUCCCACAUCGUCCCCAUCUGGAGCUCAGACCCAGACCUGCUCGGAUGGCACAAGUGAAGACCACGGGACACAGCAGCAUCCCAGGAAAAGCCAGCCCCAGGUGUCAGCCCUGGGAGCCCAACAAGGGUUUGGGUCUUCCCCUGAGCUCAUCUGUAGCAGUGAGUGCUGUUACAGUAGAAAUAUUAUGAAUUACGCAUUAUUUGCACAAUAUAAACUGUCCUUAUGUCGUGCUGAAGUUCCUGGACCGGUGUGGGGAUUACUGGGUAAAACCAGGAGGAACCUGGGGAGUUUCUGAGACCUCGUGAAUCCAGUGUCAGCGCCGCCCCAGGGUGGAUGUCAGGUGCUGCUGUGGGAGGAAUGGGCGAGUUUUCAGCCACAUCAGCAGAUCUGUGUGAGACCUGUUCAUCACACACAUCCUGCUUAACCACUCUCCAUGAUUAAAUAUUUACAAGAAGAAUUUAUUCAUCAUUAAAACCCUAAAUAAAAGGAUUACAGAGAAAGUCAGAAUGGUUCAAUAAGAAGCAGCACUAAUUAUUUUCACCCUUGUGGGUUUUUCUGCAUUCAGUGCUUGAAUUUCAAAAUGAAAAUACUGAGAUAAACUCCUGCUUUCAUGUGAGCACAGUUGGGGGGAUUUCUUAUUUGGUGUGAAGCCUGAAAAGGGAGAAUUAACACUCAUUUAAUCAUUUAUGUUCAGUCAUAAUUUAGGCCCUGAGCAACAAAGUAUUUAAGCAGGAGAUAAAACUUUAGGUAGUCACGCAUUCCACUGACUCCAGACAGAUUAUUCAGGUGCCUGAACUGAAAAGUUACUUAUUCAGAGUGAGGGAAGAACAGAAUUGCCACAUGCUGGAAGCUGACUUGUGGAGCCCAGCUGGGGCAGAUGGACGCUGAGAGUUUUCAACCCAGGGUGCAAACACAGAGCUCAGUCCCUACCCAGCCACCAGCACUGGUUGUGUGACCUCAGAAAAGUCAGAAAAUUAAUGAGAAUAAUUUCUGAGCUGGGGGAAAAGUCGCAGGGAUGAAUACUGCCAGAAAGCUAAAGUCACUGCCAGUCAUGAGAUGCAGAAAUCCUGAGGAUGGUUUGAGCGCAGCUAAACUGUUUGCUGCACAGCUGGAAAGGAAACAAGCAGAAGAGCAGGAAGGAGAUUGUCAGAUCUCCAGCACUAUUGCAGUUAUUCUACCAUGUCUGCAGAGCUGAAGUAUUUUUUUUAACAUCCGUCACAUCCCUAGUAUAGGAUAUGUGUAGGGUAUUUAUUAGGUGACCCUUGUGCCAUUGUAAGACAAUGUCAUCCUCAAAUAGAAAUGUUUCAUCUCCUUUCAAAUCUUCUCUGUUUUGUGGGGGGGAGAAGGGUGGAUAUAAGGAAAGGUGAUAAGUCCCAUAAACACUGCUGCUUUUUC